CAGCAGCCACGGUAAUACGGAGGGUGCAAGCGUUAAUCGGAAUCACUGGGCGUAAAGCGUGCGUAGGCGGUUCGUUAAGUCCGUUGUGAAAGCCCCGGGCUCAACCUGGGAAUGGCAAUGGAUACUGGCGAGCUAGAGUGUGUCAGAGGAUGGUGGAAUUCCCGGUGUAGCGGUGAAAUGCGUAGAGAUCGGGAGGAACAUCAGUGGCGAAAGCGGCCAUCCGGGACAACACUGACGCUGAGGCACGAAAGCGUGGGGAGCAAACAGGAUUAGAUACCCCUGUAGUCCCUGUCUCUUAUAC
This 301-nucleotide ribosomal RNA is filed under the name uncultured bacterium. Its description in RNAcentral is "partial 16S ribosomal RNA". It matches the Rfam family "Bacterial small subunit ribosomal RNA", at positions 509 to 807 of the family's 1533-position model. The record is from RNAcentral.